RNAcentral lists this ribosomal RNA (1372 nucleotides) under uncultured bacterium. RNAcentral describes it as "bacterial SSU rRNA". It matches the Rfam family "Bacterial small subunit ribosomal RNA", at positions 28 to 1381 of the family's 1533-position model. The record is from RNAcentral.
GAUGAACGCUGGCGGCGUGCCUAAUACAUGCAAGUCGAGCGAACGGACGAGAAGCUUGCUUCUCUGAUGUUAGCGGCGGACGGGUGAGUAACACGUGGAUAACCUACCUAUAAGACUGGGAUAACUUCGGGAAACCGGAGCUAAUACCGGAUAAUAUUUUGAACCGCAUGGUUCAAAAGUGAAAGACGGUCUUGCUGUCACUUAUAGAUGGAUCCGCGCUGCAUUAGCUAGUUGGUAAGGUAACGGCUUACCAAGGCAACGAUGCAUAGCCGACCUGAGAGGGUGAUCGGCCACACUGGAACUGAGACACGGUCCAGACUCCUACGGGAGGCAGCAGUAGGGAAUCUUCCGCAAUGGGCGAAAGCCUGACGGAGCAACGCCGCGUGAGUGAUGAAGGUCUUCGGAUCGUAAAACUCUGUUAUUAGGGAAGAACAUAUGUGUAAGUAACUGUGCACAUCUUGACGGUACCUAAUCAGAAAGCCACGGCUAACUACGUGCCAGCAGCCGCGGUAAUACGUAGGUGGCAAGCGUUAUCCGGAAUUAUUGGGCGUAAAGCGCGCGUAGGCGGUUUUUUAAGUCUGAUGUGAAAGCCCACGGCUCAACCGUGGAGGGUCAUUGGAAACUGGAAAACUUGAGUGCAGAAGAGGAAAGUGGAAUUCCAUGUGUAGCGGUGAAAUGCGCAGAGAUAUGGAGGAACACCAGUGGCGAAGGCGACUUUCUGGUCUGUAACUGACGCUGAUGUGCGAAAGCGUGGGGAUCAAACAGGAUUAGAUACCCUGGUAGUCCACGCCGUAAACGAUGAGUGCUAAGUGUUAGGGGGUUUCCGCCCCUUAGUGCUGCAGCUAACGCAUUAAGCACUCCGCCUGGGGAGUACGACCGCAAGGUUGAAACUCAAAGGAAUUGACGGGGACCCGCACAAGCGGUGGAGCAUGUGGUUUAAUUCGAAGCAACGCGAAGAACCUUACCAAAUCUUGACAUCCUUUGACAACUCUAGAGAUAGAGCUUUCCCCUUCGGGGGACAAAGUGACAGGUGGUGCAUGGUUGUCGUCAGCUCGUGUCGUGAGAUGUUGGGUUAAGUCCCGCAACGAGCGCAACCCUUAAGCUUAGUUGCCAUCAUUAAGUUGGGCACUCUAAGUUGACUGCCGGUGACAAACCGGAGGAAGGUGGGGAUGACGUCAAAUCAUCAUGCCCCUUAUGAUUUGGGCUACACACGUGCUACAAUGGACAAUACAAAGGGCAGCGAAACCGCGAGGUCAAGCAAAUCCCAUAAAGUUGUUCUCAGUUCGGAUUGUAGUCUGCAACUCGACUACACGAAGCUGGAAUCGCUAGUAAUCGUAGAUCAGCAUGCUACGGUGAAUACGUUCCCGGGUCU